RNAcentral lists this long non-coding RNA (1802 nucleotides) under Zea mays. RNAcentral describes it as "long non-coding RNA (ZMAY_LNC005660)". Lineage: Eukaryota; Viridiplantae; Streptophyta; Magnoliopsida; Poales; Poaceae. The record is from RNAcentral.
CUUGAGAUUCCAGUUACCAGGGUGAUCUUCAGGUGACUCGUAACCUCGCUGCUAGUCGUAGCAAUACAAACAAACAUGGUAUAGACAAAAUUAACAUCACACCAAGAAUAAGUACAAAUUGAAUAAUAAUGAUCUACACAUUGCUACGAGAUCGCGGGAUCGAGAACUACUAAGAUCGGAGUUACGAUUAAGGAGUUAUGAUUUUAUAGAGGAUUCAUGUGAUUAAAAUAUUAAACUAUAUCAUAAAUUGGUUAAUAUAAAUCACAUGAGAGUUUACUCUAUAAAGAAUUAUCUCAACUUUAAUAUAGGUUUUAGAUUGACCAUAGAUUAGAUUCUAGUAGAUUAUAAUGAUAAGUAGUUUAACGAGACUCACCAACAUAUGUUAAAUAAAGACCUAAUUAUAAAAGAACAAGACAUGGUAUAAUAAAUGUUGUUAUUGCAUAGUAAAUAUCUACACGAGACUAACACAACUUGAACGGAUCGCAUCGGAGUUACGGAUUGUGAGUUAUGAAUUCCCGAAGUUCAUGUGUGCUUGCUACAAAAUUAAUUGAGUAAUUAAUUCUGGUAUAGAUUUCAUGUUAAAACAGUGCUACCAAGUAGUAGGCAAUAUUAAUACAAAAUUAUGGGAACUUGAAUGAACUAAAAAGGGGUUAAAAUAAAUUCUAUAUAAAUUUUAUAAGUUUGUAUAAUUAUUUUUGUGUUGAAAAUCAAUCUCUGAUAUUAUUUAUAUGAUUUUCCUUAUUAUCCGGACUGCACAUCAAUUUACAGAGAAGGCAAGGGCCACGGCACAAUUAAACCCAAGACUCAGACAACCCUGGCUAUGAACUGCGGGUUGGUUUCUUAAUAACUGAGGGGCUCUUACGCAAGAAUGGCACGACGAAGAGGUAUCACGGGAUCUGGACCGCACGAUCUGUUUCACACGCUCACGAUUAGAUCUAUAUCAUAUUGAACCGGUACAGGAUCGCCACCGUCCAUUUACAGAUCAACAGCCUGGGUUUUAUUGAAGAGCGCCCUGAUUCCAGCCACUAGAUCCCGAUCGGAGGGUCCCGAUCGCACACGAGAAACUCUACAUCUAGGAUCUAAUCUGUCCGUCCGUUGGUCGAUCAAUGGCUGGUCGUCAUUCUCCUACCACAGUCCGAGCUGGGUGACGAUGCCUAGGUCAUCUUCUACCCCUGGCAGCACCCACGCGGCGGUGAGUGAGCUGUGAGCAGGUGCUCCGCCAACCUAGUACCAGUGCACGCUACCCUCCUAUGGCAAGCGCUACGUAGAGCGGAUAGCAAAUCAAAACAAAGGUUCUCUACACUUACCAGAGAUCACGUCGCGGAGAUCGACAAUCAUGGCGGGAGGCGGUUUGGCGGUGGUCCGAGGACUCCGACGAAUAGUUCAUCAGGAAUGGGGCAGCGUUUCCCACGGUGACACGAGCGACAGCUCCCUCACACACAAGCGGACACCAUCGGCAAGGAUCCAUGGCGGCUGCAGCCCACUGCUCCUCUUCUCUCUCCCGUACUCACGUUCGGCAGCGAGGCCGAGCACGUACACAGGCACCCCGGCGACCAAACAGAGUGCCCAGUCAAGACCUUGGAGACGACGAAUCACGCGACCGAUGGAAGAAGUAGCCAGCACCGAGCGACUGAGGGCCAGUGGCCAUGGAUCAGGGAGUGGCACGACGGAGCGCAGAUUUGUGAAUCCACAGCACUACCGACGAGGGAGGAGAUGGAUAAAAAUGCACUGCCGCCAGCAGGGGCUGGACGAGGCGCGAGGCGAGCUCGGGAGGAUAAACUCCUAGGCCCAGGCGUGGUUUG